GCAGAGGGCAGUUGGGGUCGCUUGGUAAUUGCUAACGCAAUUACUGAGAGGAAAGUCCGGGCUCCUUCGGAAAUGGUGCCGGUUAAUAACCGGGAGGCAAUAGCGAAAGCUAUUACUUACAGAUAGCGCAACAGAAAGUAUACUGCCGUUCAGAUGCCUCGGUAUCCGAACGGUGAGGGUGAAAUGGCGGGGUAAGAGCCCACCGCGAUUCCGGUAACGGAACGGCAAGGCAAGCCUCAUCAGGAGCAAGGUCAAACAGUAAAGGGUUUUCCGACCCAUCUUUACGGGUAGACCGCUUGAGAUACACGGUAACGUGUUUUCCUAGAUAGAUGACCCCUGUCGUUUCCCGUUCGCGGGGAACGAAUACAGAACCCGGCUUACUCGCCCUCUGCUUUU
RNAcentral lists this RNase P RNA (396 nucleotides) under Treponema sp. RNAcentral describes it as "RNase P RNA component class A". It matches the Rfam family "Bacterial RNase P class A". From Rfam's summary of the family: Ribonuclease P (RNase P) is a ubiquitous endoribonuclease, found in archaea, bacteria and eukarya as well as chloroplasts and mitochondria. Its best characterised activity is the generation of mature 5'-ends of tRNAs by cleaving the 5'-leader elements of precursor-tRNAs. Lineage: Bacteria; Pseudomonadati; Spirochaetota; Spirochaetia; Treponematales; Treponemataceae. The record is from RNAcentral.